AGAAUCAACGCUGGCGGCGUGCCUAACACAUGCAAGUCGCACGAGGAAGGGGGAGCAAUCCCUGAGUAAAGUGGCGCACGGGUGAGUAACACGUGAAUGAUCUACCUCCGAGUGGGAAUAAACCAAAAGAAAUUUGGCUAAUACCGCAUAACACUUACGAGUCAAAGCAGCAAUGCGCUUGGAGAGGAGUUCGCGGCAGAUUAGCUAGUUGGCGGGUAAUGGCCCACAAGGCGAUGAUCUGUA
This 243-nucleotide ribosomal RNA is filed under the name uncultured bacterium. RNAcentral describes it as "partial small subunit ribosomal RNA". It matches the Rfam family "Bacterial small subunit ribosomal RNA", at positions 26 to 285 of the family's 1533-position model. The record is from RNAcentral.